GGUAGCCGGCCUGAGAGGGCGACCGGCCACACUGGGACUGAGACACGGCCCAGACUCCUACGGGAGGCAGCAGUGGGGAAUAUUGCACAAUGGGCGAAAGCCUGAUGCAGCGACGCCGCGUGAGGGAUGACGGCCUUCGGGUUGUAAACCUCUUUCAGCAGGGAAGAAGCGAAAGUGACGGUACCUGCAGAAGAAGCACCGGCUAACUACGUGCCAGCAGCCGCGGUAAUACGUAGGGUGCGAGCGUUGUCCGGAAUUAUUGGGCGUAAAGAGCUUGUAGGCGGUUUGUCGCGUCUGCCGUGAAAAUUCGAGGCUCAACCUCGAACUUGCGGUGGGUACGGGCAGACUAGAGUGUGGUAGGGGAGACUGGAAUUCCUGGUGUAGCGGUGAAAUGCGCAGAUAUCAGGAGGAACACCGAUGGCGAAGGCAGGUCUCUGGGCCACUACUGACGCUGAGAAGCGAAAGCAUGGGGAGCGAACAGGAUUAGAUACCCUGGUAGUCCAUGCCGUAAACGUUGGGAACUAGGUGUGGGUCUCAUUCCACGAGAUCCGUGCCGCAGCUAACGCAUUAAGUUCCCCCGCC
This 582-nucleotide ribosomal RNA is filed under the name Terrabacter sp. SM-59. RNAcentral describes it as "bacterial SSU rRNA". It matches the Rfam family "Bacterial small subunit ribosomal RNA", at positions 282 to 873 of the family's 1533-position model. Lineage: Bacteria; Bacillati; Actinomycetota; Actinomycetes; Micrococcales; Intrasporangiaceae. The record is from RNAcentral.